RNAcentral lists this ribosomal RNA (497 nucleotides) under uncultured bacterium. Its description in RNAcentral is "partial 16S ribosomal RNA". It matches the Rfam family "Bacterial small subunit ribosomal RNA", at positions 28 to 507 of the family's 1533-position model. The record is from RNAcentral.
GAUGAACGCUGGCGGCGUGCCUAAUACAUGCCAGUCGAGCGAACGGACGAGAAGCUUGCUUCUCUGAUGUUAGCGGCGGACGGGUGAGUAACACGUGGAUAACCUACCUAUAAGACUGGGAUAACUUCGGGAAACCGGAGCUAAUACCGGAUGAUAUUUUGAACCGCAUGGUUCAAAAGUGAAAGACGGUCUUGCUGUCACUUAUAGAUGGAUCCGCGCUGCAUUAGCUAGUUGGUAAGGUAACGGCUUACCAAGGCAACGAUGCAUAGCCGACCUGAGAGGGUGAUCGGCCACACUGGAACUGAGACACGGUACAGACUCCUACGGGAGGCAGCAGUAGGGAAUCUUCCGCAAUGGGCGAAAGCCUGACGGAGCAACGCCGCGUGAGUGAUGAAGGUCUUCGGAUCGUAAAACUCUGUUAUUAGGGAAGAACAUAUGUGUAAGUAACUGUGCACAUCUUGACGGUACCUAAUCAGAAAGCCACGGCUAACUACGUG